Chelonia mydas (Green sea turtle) is the source of this 1157-nucleotide long non-coding RNA. RefSeq lists it as uncharacterized. Lineage: Eukaryota; Metazoa; Chordata; Testudines; Cheloniidae. The transcript has 3 exons. The record is from RefSeq and is a predicted model, not a curated record.
AUCAGAUUGAACUAAACUUAUUGGAACAUGGUUCAAAGAUAACACUAGUGUGAUUGUGCUGCAAAUAACCAGUAGAGAAGAGCCUAUAAAUCUAAGACUGAAACUAUUUGAUAUAACCUCUUGGGCAAAGUUAAAAGGAAAUUAUGAAAAUAGAAGUACACAGAAUUAUGAGGCUUCCUGAGAGCUUAGGAGACAAUGGGCCUCAUACAAAGCCAUUUGAAGCCAAUGAAAAGAUCAGGGUCACCUUUGCCAUGAAGACCCAGAAAGCUGUGGAAGCAACUGGAAAAGAGGUCACCAGUGCCAUGUUUCUAGCCAACUCCCUGAACCACCAGCAACAGCUCCAUUGAUCAUCAGUGGUCCAUGUACCACAUUCUGGAAACUGGCUGUUCUACAUGGUAAAGAAAAGAAGCUACACCGAUAAAAGGAGGCCUAUCUUGAUCAUUUAAAACUUAAUGUAGCAGUAUAACAUGCAGUUAUGGACCAUAUAGAAAGGAAUCAUUGGCACAUGUUACAGGUAUAACAAGUGAACCAAUAUAUUCUUAGUGUAUUGGAUACACACCCACUCAGAACUCAUUUUACUCAGCACAAGAACAUCUAUGUCCAUAAUUACACACAUAUAUGUGCCUUUCCUGAGUUUUGCAGGUCAUCCCAAACUCUUGCUGAUAAAGCCUUUACACCACACUGUCAUGUAUUCCAAAUGAUAUAAGUAUGAUUAUUAUAUUUGGAGAGGGAGAUCUUUUGAAAACUAUUUCAACCAGCAAGACUGUGAUAGUGAAGAGUAUUAUCAAGUCAAUUGAAAUAGGAUCAAAGAAAACAUGGCAGUGACUGAAAUGAAAUUAAAUCUAAAAGUACAUCUAAGGAAUUCCUCUUCUUUCCCAGUUAUCAAUUUUUGAUGGCUGGAUAUUGACCCUUGUUUACUGUGGCCUCAGAUUCUUAGGCUACCCUGACCAUAAACAAUGCAAAAUUGUACAAUAUGAAGAGAAUAGAAUAGAGCUAUUCAAGUAGCAUAAAUCCUACUUGACACUUCCUCAAGUGGCAACUAUGAAAACUAAAGACAUGCCAAUUCACCUUGCUGUUCAAAUUGAAAUGUACAUUCUUCACUGCUCAAAUGUGGACUUAAAGUAUAUUAUUUUUUCCUAUAGUUUCAAGAAAAGCUU